This 253-nucleotide ribosomal RNA is filed under the name uncultured bacterium. RNAcentral describes it as "partial 16S ribosomal RNA". It matches the Rfam family "Bacterial small subunit ribosomal RNA", at positions 524 to 776 of the family's 1533-position model. The record is from RNAcentral.
UACGGAGGGUGCAAGCGUUAUCCGGAUUCACUGGGUUUAAAGGGUGCGUAGGCGGGCAGGUAAGUCCGUGGUGAAAUCUCUGAGCUUAACUCAGAAACUGCCAUGGAUACUAUUUGUCUUGAAUAUUGUGGAGGUGAGCGGAAUAUGUCAUGUAGCGGUGAAAUGCUUAGAUAUGACAUAGAACACCAAUUGCGAAGGCAGCUCACUACACAAUUAUUGACGCUGAGGCACGAAAGCGUGGGGAUCAAACAGG